UUGGACACCGAUGUUUUGGAAGCGGCACAUUGCGCACAGGAAGAAUUUGACACAGGUCGAAUUGCGACAAGUAGAAUUGGACACAAGUAGAUUGCGUACAAGCAGAGUAUCACAGAGUAAAUUUGGACACAGUAAUGAUUGCACACACUAUUAAUUGGACACAAAGCUACCUACUCGCGCGUGUUUCCCAUCUCAUACCUUAAUCUUUUAAUGCCGUGCGUGUUUCGUCUGAGAUGUUUGAAUCUUUUAUAAUUUACUGUUAGUGACGAUUCUCAUAAAGAGCCUGACGAACGUGUUGACAUUAAUUAUCCUUGCAGAAUAUUUAAUUUCUAAGAUGAUUUGUCGAAAAUUUAUUAAAGGGGUUCUACAUUAUUAGAUUUGCAAAUUAUAGUCAAGUGGUGUUCGAUAUUUCGUAAAUUCAUGAAAUAAGUAAAUGACAUUUAUGCAAGGACCUGUAACGAUAAGUAUGUAAGACUGUUCGAUGAAAUUUCUCGCAGGAGUUUGUUGUUGAUUUUGUGUGCUUAACCUUAUUUGAGUUGACAGGAAGUAGAAAUUCAGAUAUUAACUGUUGUGGGUUGACCAAAUUGAAUCACAUAUAUGACAUGGAAAUACAGCAAUGUUAAAUCAAAACGAACUGUUUGCAUCCUCUCUUCUGUGUAUUUAACCAUAUUUGGAUUGGCAGGAAGCUGAGGAUCCAAGAAGAAAUUUAGAUAAGUAUCUUUUGCUUAUAAAACAAUAGAUUUAACAAGAAUUAACAUGAUACUUUGUGGUGUUUUUAACUUAUACUUUACAGGUAGUUUAAUCAAUGUCGAGCAGUGAUUUAUAAUACGUGAAAGUUAUGGACAGACAACUUGGUUGAUAUGUGCAUUGGUGUGAGUUGGUGGUGAGUUGAGAAAUAUUACGUUUUCUAAGUUUAUUAUAAUAUAGAUAAACUGCUCGCUUACAUACGUACUUCAUAAUUCCAGACAUUAUGUUUUCUUUUACUAUUUAGUUGCUAAAUCCAAAGUGAAACAUACAAUAUUGGUAAUAAUUGAAUUUUUCUAGUAAUAUAUUUAUUAAACAAAUUCUUAAAUGCUAACUUAUAUUAUACAAUAUGUGGUAUUAUAAAUAUUAUUAUAUGUAAUAUGAAUACAUAAAACUAUUCAACGGGUAAGAUUUUAGGUAAAUCUAAAGAAAAAUUGCUUUUAUAUGAACCAUAUAUUACCAUUUGUAACAAACAAUUUGUAUAUACAAUAACCAUUAAUUUUUAUUAACUAAAGCUACCACUUAUAUUAUAUCACUAUUAAAUAUUCCGCUUCAACCGAACAACUGGAUAUAUCGUAGUUUCAUAGUAUGCAACUCUUGAACCUGAAAUGAAAGUAGAAUAAUUAAAAAGAGUUUAGAUUAAAAGAAAUUGUAUUCAUUGAAUUGUAUUGUAGAUUAAAGUAAGCUUACAUGUAUAUGUAUGUCAAGGGGCAGAUUUCAGGACACCAACUUUUCCUUUGAUAUAAUUACUUAGAUUUGUAAUUUCUUGACUUAGAUUUCUUAAGAAUUUUUGAAAUUUUGAAAAAAAGUUACUAUUUCUUAGAGAUACAAUUGAUUAUAUAUAGAAGGGCAGUUAUCAGGACAGGUCAAUUAUUGCAUGCAAAAGACAAAAUAAAUUGUUUCCGGAAGUUGAUUACUUAGUAAUAUGAAAUUUUUUAAUAAUUUGACAGUUUAUUCGAUAUUAUCAAAUUCUCCUAUUUCUAUAAAAGUUACAACUAUGUCUAUACAAUUUCAUCAUUCUUUGUAAUAAAUGUAUUUAUUCAUUGGGCGGUGUUCAAUUUUUGUGUAACGCAUUAAUAAAAACAUAGUAUUUAAGAUUUAUUUCUUCUGAGACAUUAAAAAACAUUUAAAUUCAGUUUAACUAAUAGAUAUAAAAGCAUUCGCGUACAGAAAAUGAAAUAAAUCUGUUUACGAAGUAAAAAACUUAUUUGAUUGAGGGUAGUAAAUUUUUUGCAAUAACCUGUUCUAUAUACCACAAUUGUUUCUUCAUUGAGCACAAAUAUUUUGUCUAUUGUACGCUUUAUUCUAGUUGUUUUGUUCUAAUUGUCUUUAUUUUAUUGCUUGCUUUGCAUUGAUAUUUUGUAGAACCUUCAACUGCUUCUGUAAACCAUUGAUUAGUCACUGUUCUGAUAUAUUAUGAUUUAUAAAGUAUGAUGGCAUUACAUUCUUUUUAAGGUCUAUAAAUUGCAAGACAAAUGUAUGUAAUUCAAUGAUCUUCUUGUAUGGAUAAUUUCUUAACUGUAUCUGUUCAAUUUAUUGACUUCAUAAAUUUAUUGCUGUAAUUUUCCUAUCGAUGUCUAGACAAACGCUGAAAAUAAAGAAAAAAGUAUCAUAAUGUUAUAUAUUGAAACAUUGUAUUUUAUUUACAACUUUAAUUUGAAAUAAAGUAUUUAUUAUUUCUUUUAUCUUAAACAUAUUUCCAGAUUAAUCCUGCGAGAACGUAAGUGCAACUCUUUAUUCAAUAUUUUUGCUAUUUGUCCAAGUAUUUCAUUGAAUACUAUACAUUUCCCCUAUGUUCUGUAAUACUAGUUGCGUUGCAACCAUAGAAUUACCAUUAAAACAUAUAUAAUUACAUAGAAGAAUAUAACUACUGCAUAAUUAGAACUACAAGAGUAAGUAUUCUUCAAGUAGAUACAUUAUUAGAUAUCGUGAGACUUUUCAAUAUAUAGAAUAAACUAAAGUGGAAACUACCAUUUGUAUUGAAGAAACCUAACACCAUUUGAUGCAUGUAAUAACUACAGAAUCACAUUAAAUGCUAGCUAUUAAUAUAGAUUAAAGUGUAAAACUGCUUUUUCUUGUAAUUCACCAUUUGACUCUGGCUGAUCGUCAACAACAUAUCACAGGACUCAAGUAAUGGGAACUUUAAAUAUUAAGUCCCACUGAAAAAAGUUCUGUGUCUUGUUCAUUGAAUUGGUUUACUAUCUUUUUAAUCUUCCUUGAUGAAUCAAAAAUUUUCUCCUUGGUUAUUAUCCAAUUUCCACCUUAUGUACACAGAUACUUACAUCCAAAUUAAUAUUUACAAAUGAAAUCACAAGCGCAUACAAUCAUAAUUUUCAUACACACUUUAUAUACAGAUCACUUAAUUCUAAAUUAAAGGGAGCGCUAUGUAUGUAUCAUAUCACGUUGCACUGUUAAAAUUUAUUAUGCUUCUAAUGCAUACGUACACAUAUUACAAGGAACAUUACUGUGUCUUGUGCAUUACUUCUAGCAAUAUCUGGACGAAUUUUCUUCCACUGUCUUAAUAACUGGCAUCCAAGUGUUUCUUAUUUGGACAAAAUGAAUAUUUAUUACCUUAAAUUUGUAUUAUGAAAUGCACACUUAAACACUGUUUUUGUAUAUUUUUUUCCACAACGACACGAAAAAUUUUUCAUCACUUAUUCUUCUAUGUAAAAACACGUUAUAUUCCCACUCACAACAAUUGCAUAAAAAACCACAUACAAAUUAAAUUCAGAUCCAAAUUUAAUAAAUUCUAAGUCAUAUUUAAUCACACAUUUUCCGAUACAAUAUCAGCACACGUAGCCUUCGAAAAGCAAUGAUUAUUAAAUUUACGGCGUUAAAAUGUUACGAAUUCAAAGAGUACAAGUUCAACCGACACAGCGUCCAAAGUGAACAUUUAUCUAAAUUUAUAUUAUGAAAUGCACACUCAGACUCCAUUUUUAUAUAUUUUUUUCUGCAACAGCACCGGCUCCCGUUCAAAAACUGGAAAGUAUUGGCAAUUUCCAGUAAAAUAAUAAGUCGAUCGUACAAAUGCAUGGAGAAAUAGUGUAAUUAUUAAAUUUUGUUCAUUUUUACUGGUUUAUUGCGUCAUCUGCAUAACGCCUUACUUUUCGUCAUGAGCAGUGUUUCGCCGAAUAAUUGAAAAUAAAAAGGAAUGUUAUUGACAAUAUAUUGUUAGGCUACAC
Long non-coding RNA from Hylaeus anthracinus, 3926 nucleotides. RefSeq lists it as uncharacterized. The record is from RefSeq and is a predicted model, not a curated record. The transcript is spliced from 2 exons. NCBI's taxonomy places the organism in Eukaryota, Metazoa, Arthropoda, Insecta, Hymenoptera, Colletidae.